Molecule: ribosomal RNA, 312 nt
Filed under: uncultured Treponema sp.
Lineage: Bacteria; Pseudomonadati; Spirochaetota; Spirochaetia; Treponematales; Treponemataceae
Description: bacterial SSU rRNA
Rfam family: Bacterial small subunit ribosomal RNA
Source: RNAcentral
CUAAGAAUAUUCCGCAAUGGAGGAAACUCUGACGGAGCGACGCCGCGUGGAUGAUGAAGGUCGGAAGAUUGUAAAAAUCCUUUUAUGACUGAGGAAUAAGUACGUUGAGAGAAACGGCGUAUGGUGACUGUAGGUCAUGAAUAAGCAACGGCUAAUUACGUGCCAGCAGCCGCGGUAACACGUAAGUUGCGAGCGUUGUUCGGAAUUAUUGGGCGUAAAGGGCAUGUAGGCGGUAUUGCAAGCCUGGUGUGAAAGGCGGGGGCUCAACCCCUGGACUGCGCUGGGAACUGCAUUACUAGAGUCGCUGAGGGG